RNAcentral lists this long non-coding RNA (6210 nucleotides) under Marmota monax (woodchuck). Lineage: Eukaryota; Metazoa; Chordata; Mammalia; Rodentia; Sciuridae. The record is from RNAcentral.
UAGAGCGAGGCCGGCGCCGGCGCCCCCUGCCGGAGGGACUCGCGGGCAGCGGGCGGGGCGCGCGGGAAGCCGGGGGCAGCCUCCGCGUCCCGGCGGUGGCCUUCUGCGCCCGCCUGUGGGUUUGCGCCUCGGACCGCUGGUACACAAAGGUGGCGCCUUCGGGCGUCCAGUCGGACCUCGCGGGAGCCGCCCACGGUGCACAGGCGUCCAGAGCAGUUGCCACCAACCUUCGGGGGUCGGAAAACCCGGAAACGUAGGUCACAAAUCAGAGACUCCAAGCGACACUUCACCCAACCUCUGUACUGGGGCAAAUCAUGGAGCCACGGGUCCCAGAAACUCAAGACCCGGGAGGAAGAGAAGCAAGGGCUUGGCAAAGGGGAUGUUCAGGCAAAGAAACCGUCACCGCGGGCUCCUGGCCAAGGCCCGUAGGGACAAAGAUGUCCCUCCAAAAUGCUCAGGCACUUCUGGGAGUGGAGCUGCGUGGAGAGAGCCCGCGGGAGAGCGAUGCUAUCUGAAGCCACCGCAGCUUUUGGUUUACUGUUAAAAGCAAAUUGUGUCAUUUUACCCAUUAAAGGUCGAACGCUAUUUGUUCUUUGCAGAACCCCAGAACAUGCAGAAUUAAUUUGCUUCACUUGUAAAAGACGUUUUGAACGCAAUUCAAAUAGCAUACUUUCUUGCUUAUUCUUGGUUUUGCUUAGCACAUGCAAAGGUCUGGAUUUGGAAGGCCUGAUCCUCUUGUUUGUAACUGAGGAAUUUUCUCCCCCCCCCCCUCUCUUGGAGGAAAGAUUUGGAUUAUCCUGCCAUUCUGUUGUUUGUUUUCUGACAUUUAUCUUUUAACUGAUUACCAAGCAGUUUGUUUAGUGUUUUUGCUGGAGCAUUAUUCUCUGUUAAUUGGUGUGAAUUAGGGAGAGACCUGGCCUCUGUGCCAGACCCACAGGAGGCUGGUGAGCUUGCCUGCCUGGAAUUGCCCCCCACAGAUUCAGACAUGGCAGAAAAUAAAAGUUCUCUAGCUAUGGUCAGCUGACAAAAUGGCUGGACCAGCCCAGGCCCCACCCUGUUCAAAUUAUUUAGGCCUCAAGCUCUCUCUGCCCAAUUUGUCUGGAGGAACAUCUCACACAGUUCUCAUUACUAAUACACAUUAGGGGGUCUGAUUGCAGCUGGCCAGGGCCCCACUGGAAAUCCAGAGGAAGAAUGGGAAAAAAAUGCCCACUCUUGGCUGGGUGGUAAAAUCAUUAUCAAACUUCCUGGACCCCAAGCUCCUUCCUCAGGCCAUCCUUCUGCCCACACUGGUGCCUCUGAACUGGGGGCUGCUCUCCAGGGUGUUGUUUGAGGUCUACCAGGUGUUUAUCUUUGGGUUUUUCCUCAUUUUACCUUUCCUUGGGGGCCCUUACAGAUGCUUUUAGAAUAAGCAAGUUUUAAGAGUUGGUCUUGAAGCACUUAGUUCCAAACCCCUCCAUUCUGGAAGAAGUGAAAAACAGACAGAGGCUGCAAAGAAGGGUCCUCUGAGCCCUGCUCCGAAAAACUCAGUCACUCGGGAAGACUCUGACACUUCUAUGGGACUGUGUGCCUUGGAGAAGGAGAUCCUUUGGCCAUUUCCCAUGGUUUUCUUGUCAAUAACUCCAGCCUGCGUUCCCUGUCUCUCACUCCUUCUUCCCCCUCUCCCUCUUGGUUCAGAACUGAAAGAUAAACACAAUAAGUAAAAUCAGGAAGCACAAGCCUUCUCAGUGACUAGCAAAAUGACUUAGAUCCAAGGCCAAACUGCAGGUACACACUCCUUCCCACCUGUUAGUUAUGAGUUGCUUCAUAACAAAAUGCCGCAGAAUAUAACAGCUUCAAACAGUAAACUUAGUUUAUCGUUUCACAUAAUUCAGCAGGCCAAGAAUUCAGGAGAGGCUUAGCUAAGUGGUAGUUUCAGAGUCCCCCAGGAGGUUGCAGGCAGAUGUCAACCAGAGUUGCAGUCACUGGAAGCCUUAAGGGACUGGAGGAUUCUCACAAGGCCAUCUCGGUGCCUCAUGCUGGGCAGAUGAGUGCUGAGUACUGAACCUCUCUAUGGAGACCUUGACUAUGGUCACUGCAUGGCAACUCACUGACCCCAAAGGAGAGCCACACAGUAGGUGCAGUGUCUUCUAUAACCCAGCCUUAGAAACGCAUAGCAUCAUUUCUGCAAUGCCCUGUUGUCAUGUUUCUGGGCCCUCUUCAUCACAGAAGAGAUCUAGACAGGAACAUGUACACCAGGAGGUAGAAAUCAUUGGAAUCCCACAUCACCUCUAUGGGAGGCAGCUACAUGGAUAGGCCUCGGGAUAGGCCGCAAGCAAGAGGGAGAGAAAAGGUGCACACUUUUCUGUACUAGAAAAAGUAAAAGGCCAUGCCAGGCACUCCUUGCAGGCUACAACAAGGCCUUAGGCACCAGGGAAGAACAUUCCAGGUGGAGUGAAGGGUCAGAGUCAAGGCUUCCAGCCAGAGAUACCUGAGAAAUAUCUGAGGAACAUCUUGGAGUCCAGGUUGGAGACUGUGUGGCUUAAACUGUGUUUUCCUCAUGAAUAGUAAUGUUGAGUAUUUUACAUUUUACUAUAGUAACAUUGCAUUUUUUAUACCCAUUGACUAUUGUAUGCCUUCUUUUGUGGAAAUAUGUCUUCAAAUAUUUGGUUAAUUUUUUAAUUGGAUGAUAUCUUCUCAUCUUUGAGAAAUUUUUUUUGAGGAGUUCUCAUUUUUAAGAGUUCUUUUAUGAGUUCCAGAUGCCAAUCUUAUUUCAGACUAAGACAUAGAAAUGUACUUGUCCAGUUGCUGACUUGUCUUUUCAUUCAAGAAGAUAAACAGCCAAACUCACCAGGAUAGAAGUCUCCAUUUCCCCACUCUGUGCUCCUUACCUGUCUGACCCCCUGAACUUACACAAACAGCUUGGCAUAGUCAGGAGAGAUCCAAGGUCACUAAACCCAAAGACCAUUUUCAUUCUCCCCUUUAGCCUUUCUGCAGCACUCUCUCCUGGACCCCUCCCUCCUCAGCUUUGAUGAUGUCAAGUACUGUGGAUGCCCUCUUUGAGAUGGGCUCACAGAGGGAGGGAGGAGGCAAGGUGGCUGUACAAGUCUUGGUAAAGUAACACUGGCAGUUUCCAUAUUUCCAGCUUAUAGACUACAUAACCUGCUCAUAAGCUCAUCCUGAAAUUACACAUCCAUCCCAAACCACGGUGUUUUUGUAAAGCAUAUUCUCUCUCAAACCAUUUAUUUCUCUGCACAGCUAUUUAAGCUUUCCUGUCUCCAAAAACUCAGAUUCAGAAACAAUAAGCCAAGGAUUCCGAUUCUCACCGAGAACUACAAAAGUCAGAAGUUCACCAAGCUUGAGUGUCGUAGUCAUCGUGACAAAGAAACCAUCUUCAACUCCUGAUCUUUUUGUCAGGAAGUGGGGGCUGCAGGAGGAAGCUACAGGAAAUCGUUUUUUCCCUUUGUAGUUCAUCGUUUGUAUGAAGAAGGCUCCCACCUGGCAGGUGGUGAUCUUGGGGAGACUCUGACCAGUCAAAGCUCUAGUGUGAAUCUCUUUAGUCAGCUGGGCAAAUAAAUGUCUCACGGUUUAUUUUCCUCCCUUGUCACCAAAUAUGUGAUGUCUCAGCUAACACCAGAUAUCUGACGGAAAAUCAGGUUGGCCUCCAACAUCUGAAUUCCAUUGUGACACUAACCGCCCAGAGUCAGCCUCAGACUUCACAGGUUGAAGGGCUCAGACCUCAAGACUGCACUGAUGCCAGCUGCACCUACUGAUUCCUGGGUGCUUACCUGGGAUUUCUGUCUGACUUGCUACAAAUGCAAAGGUUCCCACAAAUCCCUCCUCUAAAACACCCUGCAGAACUCCGGAACACACUGUCCCUUACUGUUACUGGUUUACCAUAAGGACAAAGGAUACGACUCAGGGAUCACCCAGUGGAAGAGAUGCAUGGGGUGAGGUGUGGGGUUGAGGGGAACGGAGCGUCCCUGCCCUCUCCAGGCACAUCCAUCCCCCCAGAACCGGGACCUGUUCACCAGCGUGGAAGCUCUCUGAACCCUGUCAUCUAGGGGAUCGCGUGGAGUCUUCAUUGGGUGGGCAUGACUGACUACACAUCAUUGUCAGGGGUGGGGCGGAAAGCCCCAACUCUCUAGUCGAGGCUUCAUCUUUCUGGCGAGCAGCCCCUAACCUGAAGCUAUCCAGGGCCACAGCCACCAGCCAUCCCAUGAGCACGAAUUCAGAAAAGGUCUGGCCGCUCGUUAUGAAUGAUGCCUGAUGCUCAUCACAGGAAAUUCCUAGAGUUUUAGGAGCUCUGGGCCAAGAACUGGUGACAAAGACCAAAUAUAUGUUUCCCAUUACUCCACACACAUAGUCAGAAUGUUUUUCCUGAUGCAGGAAUUAAAAAUAGUAAUAAUUCAUUCUUUAAAAAAAAUCAAUAAACCGAGAUGUAUGUUUAUCACCAUGGUUACUACUUCAUGAUUAUUAUGUUAAAACACUAAUGUCACUAGGAUUUUGUUCAGUGAUGUUUCAUGUCUAUGAUAUCUUUCAAAAUCCCUUUUUAAGAUAAUUUAUUUCUUAGUCUUCAAAGUGAGGUAGUCUGGGAUGGUGGUUCUUCAGCAGGCUGAGGCAGGAGGAUAACAAGUUCAAGGCCAACCUCAGCAACUUAAUGAGAGUCUGAAUUUUUUUAAGGGGGGUGGGUGGGAACUGGGGAUGUAGCUCGGUAAUAAUCACUUAUCUAGCAUUUGCCAAGUACUGGGUUCAAAGGACAGUACCACAAAACAGAAACGAUACAAAGCAAAACUAAGGUAGACUCUUUAUCCCCUAUGGAUCAAUGCUAUAGUUUAAACAUGGAAUUUCCCUCAGAGGCCCUUGAAUUAAAAGCUUAGACAUGGUGGUGCUGUUGGGAAGUGGUGAGAGGUGGGGUCUUGUGGGAGGUCCUUAGGUCACUGGGUAUGUUCCCCCAAAAGGAAUUGUGGGAACUUGACCUUUUCUCUUUCACUGGUCCCUGGCUCACAAGUGUUUUCACUCCAACACACACUUCUUGCACACACUCCUUGCCAUAGGCCCAAAAUAAUGGGGCCAACGGAUGAUGGACUCCAAAACUGAGAGCCAAGAGAAAACCUUUCCUCUUCACAAGUUGAUUGCCUCAGGUAUUUGUUGUAGUAAUGGAAAACUGACUAACACAAUAAAAAAAUCACCUGUUUUACUGGACAGUGCUUAAACACACAACUGCUCUCUUGAAUAACACAAUCUCUGAAAUACAUUAAAAGCUAUGGUUCCACUAGUAAAGCUACUGGAAGCCGAGACCUAUAGUGAGCAGUCUUACAUUCAGCCUGCUGGUUUUGAUGUAUGUUAGGGAUUGAACUGUGUUUUCCAAAAAGAUGUUGAAGUUCUAAUACUAGGAACAAAUCCCUCCCUGGGGCCUUCAGAGGAAGCCAGUCUCGCCCACACCUUGAUCUCAGACUUCUGGCCUCGAGAACUGUGAGACAAUAAUUUCUACUGUUUAAGCCACUCAGUUUUGUGUUCUUGGUUGUGGUGGUCCGAGAAAACUAAUAUUAAAUAGUAGUGAGCAUAGAUCAGAGACAGCCCUCUCAAAUUCUAAUUAUCAUAAAACAAACAACACGAAAUUGUUGAACAUAAAUUAUCUCAACUAGACUAAACACACAUUCACACACACAUGCACACACUAUUCUCUGUGUUAGAAGAAGAAGACCACAGUUCUCUCAUUCCCAGGAGGGUGUGACUGAUGAUCCAGUGAUCCUCUUGUAGAUAUGAAUGUGCUUACUCCCUGGGGUUGAUCUAGGCCAUUCUUGAACUGGAUCCACCACAGGGGACCUCAUUAAAGGAAAACCCAGAACACCCAGGAAAAGGAGAGCAGUCUUGUGUAGCUCUGCAGAGGGAUGGAAGCCUUCAUGCUUAACAAAUCCUAGUGUACUGGGUCAAGACAUGUCCCAUAAGGUUUCUCCCAUAAGGUUUUGGGUCCUUCAUGCCAACAAGGGCUUUCUACUACUGUGCCAUUAAUAAGAUGUGGUGGUCCUCUGUGAGACUUAGACAGUCCUUGAAUGUGAGGAGAUGGGAUACGUUCAGACACAGAUGUAGGUUACGAUUCCUGUCACAGUUUAGAAGGUCAGUGUGUAACGGGAUGACUACAUGAUGUCGCCUUUCUCAUCACCCCAUGAGGGUGCAUGCAGCUUCUCUCCAUUUUCUUUUUAAUUUCUAUUUUAUUUUUUCGGCACCGAG